GUAGGUGGCAAGCGUUGUCCGGAAUUAUUGGGCGUAAAGCGCGCGCAGGCGGUUCUUUAAGUCUGAUAUAAAAGCCCACGGGCUCAACCGUGGAGGGUCAUUGGAAACUGGAGAACUUGAGUACAGAAGAGGAAAGCGGAAUUCCACGUGUAGCGGUGAAAUGCGUAGAGAUGUGGAGGAACACCAGUGGCGAAGGCGGCUUUCUGGUCUGUAACUGACGCUGAGGCGCGAAAGCGUGGGGAGCAAACAGGAUUAGAUACCCUGGUAGUCCACGCCGUAAACGAUGAGUGCUAAGUGUUAGGGGGUUUCCGCCCCUUAGUGCUGCAGCUAACGCAUUAAGCACUCCGCCUGGGGAGUACGGCCGCAAAGGCUG
This 373-nucleotide ribosomal RNA is filed under the name uncultured organism. RNAcentral's name for it is "partial 16S ribosomal RNA". It matches the Rfam family "Bacterial small subunit ribosomal RNA", at positions 527 to 896 of the family's 1533-position model. The record is from RNAcentral.